This 504-nucleotide ribosomal RNA is filed under the name uncultured Actinomyces sp. RNAcentral's name for it is "bacterial SSU rRNA". It matches the Rfam family "Bacterial small subunit ribosomal RNA", at positions 1 to 507 of the family's 1533-position model. The record is from RNAcentral. Lineage: Bacteria; Bacillati; Actinomycetota; Actinomycetes; Actinomycetales; Actinomycetaceae.
AGUAGUUUGACUCCUGGCUCAGGACGAACGCUGGCGGCGUGCUUAACACAUGCAAGUCGAACGAUGAUGCGGCGCUUGCGCCGUUGAUUAGUGGCGAACGGGUGAGUAACACGUGAGUAACCUGCCCCUUCUUCGGGAUAACGGUCUGAAAGGGCUGCUAAUACCGGGUAUUCACUGGUCCUCGCAUGGGGUCUGGUGGAAAGGGUUUUUUUCUGGUGGGGGAUGGGCUCGCGGCCUAUCAGCUUGUUGGUGGGGUGAUGGCCCACCAAGGCUUUGACGGGUAGCCGGCCUGAGAGGGUGACCGGUCACAUUGGGACUGAGAUACGGCCCAGACCCCUACGGGGGGCAGCAGUGGGGAAUAUUGCACAAUGGGCGCAAGCCUGAUGCAGCGACGCCGCGUGAGGGAUGGAGGCCUUCGGGUUGUGAACCUCUUUCGCCCGUGGUCAAGCCGCGACGUGGGUCGUGGUGAGGGUAGUGGGUAAAGAAGCGCCGGCUAACUACGUG